Molecule: long non-coding RNA, 4249 nt
Filed under: Homo sapiens (human)
Lineage: Eukaryota; Metazoa; Chordata; Mammalia; Primates; Hominidae
Description: HSALNT0127436
Source: RNAcentral
AACAAAACAAAUGAAAAUGGUUACCCAUAGGAGGUGUUACCCGGUGUAAUGCCUAUAUGACAGUUGAAUUCUGAUCCUGCCCCAACUCUGCUUACCUUUAAGAAACAGGAUACCUGUAAUAAAAAGUUCCCUUUGAAAUAACGAGACCGGGUGAGACUGGUUAGAACCAAGAUAGCUGACAUAAUGAAAAGACCUCACGUUUCAUUAUAAUCUCAUUUCCAUGCUAAAUGAAAUGGUACUCCCACCAGUUCCAUGACAGUUGGCAAAUGACCGUAACAACUGCAAGAAGCCAUAAAAGGACAAAAAGGAUGGUGGCACUCCAGUUCUAGAAAGUUCACUGCCCAUUUCUAGAAAAGACAUGAAUAUUAAUCCUCUUGCUUUUAAUGUCCAAUGCCUUCAUUAGAAAACCCUAUAUUUUAACCCCCCAGCCUAUCACUAGUGGAGAAGUUGAAUUAUGAGCCAUGCUCCUGCUUCUCAAUUCCAUGGCCAUCAAAUAAAGCCUGCACUGCUUGAUACUCACUUCUGGUUUUGUGUACUGGUUUUGUGACAAUGAACAGGGAAAGACCCCAUCUUUUGGGAAACCAGCUUUGUUGGUAACAGAGGCAGGUGUAAAUGAAGAAAAUAAAAGGGAGUCUUUUUUGAGUAUAUCUUUUUAUAAGGUUUGACUUUUGAACCAUGUAAAUGUUUUAUAUUCUCCAAAAUUAAAAUAACAAUAAAAAACGCCCCAAACUGAAAAUUAAGUGAAAUCAACUGUAUAGCAAAUUGGUAUUACAACCAUACAGAAAAUAACUGUUUCAAGCAACUUUUAAGCAUAUAUUCUGAUCCUUGGUGGGAUAUGUUCUAAAGACAAAAGAACUGCAAAGAAAUCUUACAUUUCAGUUAUUUUAUUUUUAGAAAAUCAGUAUUGCAAUUUUUAAAUCAUUUUAUGUAAAUUGUAGGAAAAGGCUAAUGUAUUAAUGUAAUUCAGAACCAAGUCCUUCGGUGUAACAGAAGAGAAAUAAAAAACAGAUAAGUUAAGCAAAAAUAAAUAUAAAUAUAAAACAAAGUUGUUAAGCAAAAAUCUUAUAAUAUUAAACUGGAGUGGAAAAUAUCAAUUAGGAAUUUGAUUGAAUAUUUAUAUAUAACACUAUAUAAUAUUAUAUUAUAUAUUUUUCUAAUUCUCUUUACCAAAAAGAUGCAGAAUAAAGCACACCCUGUGCACAUCUAGUAUCCACAUGUUACUUUUCAAAUGCCAUUUCCCACUAAAUGAAACUAGGACUCCCUGAAGAAACAGUCUGAUGCCAGGUCUCGACGAGGGGAAGCAAAGACUCAUCUUUGUACUACAGAGCAAGAAAGUGCUCACAGAGGUCUAUUUAUGAGUAUGUGAAGGCAGCAACAGCACUGGUGGCUGCGAGUGGAACUAAAAAGCAGAAAAACAUUAGGCUUAUGUCCUGCAAGAGAGUUGCACCUGUAAUACUCACAGAACAGGAUUCAUUCACUAUCAAAGCACUUGAGACCAGAAGUGAAUUGAAACCACCUAAAGAGGUCAUCCAGCUCCAAUACAGCUCAACUCCUGAUGGUAUCAAAGUGUUCAGUCUUUCAUUCUAGCUGCCUUUCAGAGCAAAAAAAGCAUGUCUCUCUGGAGAAAAAGGGUAUUUAUGCCAAUCUCUUCUAAACACAAUGCCAGUAUAAAAACAGAAUUAUCACACAUAAAGCAGGAAAAAAUGACCCAUAACCAAAAGAAAAAAUAGCCAAAAGAAACAGACCCACAGAUAAGACAUGUUAGAAUAAGCAGACAAAAACUUUAAAAUAACUAUUUUAAAUUUAUUUUUUUAAAAUAGAGAAAAAGACAACCCAAAUGGACAAAAACAGAGAACUUCAACAGAAAAAUUAAAUCUCUAAAAAGCCAAGUAACUAUUAUAGAAAAACUGGGAAAAAUGGUAUCUUAAAAACAUCUUUACUGGUUAAUGAUAGAUAAAAAAGCCAAGAAAGAAAAAUCAGUAAAGAUAUAUAGAAUACUUGAACAACACUAUUAACCAGCUUGAACCAACAAUUGCAAAAUGCAGAAUGUGGGAUAUUCUACAAAUUAACUGACAUUUGUCUAAAAACUCAAUGUUAUGAAACAAACAAACAAAAAAACCAAGAACCUAAAGAAUUGUAACCACCAAAUGCAAUGUAUGAGACUUGAUUGGAUUUAGAAAAAAAUACAUAUAUAUAUAAAUUUUAAAAUAUAUUUUGAAGACAGAAAAAUCUGAACUUAUGAACUAAGUAUUUUAGAAAAUUAGAUUACUGUUAACUGUCUUAAUAUGAUGACGGUGUUGUGGUUAUGUAGAAAAAUUUCCUAAUUCUUAGGAGAUGUGUGCUAAUAGAUUUAGGGAUAAAAUGUAAUGUUAUCUGUAAUUUACCUUCAAAUAGUUCAGGAAAUAGUGUGUUUAUAGUAUAUAUUUCUCUGUAUUUAAAGAGCUAAAAAAGGCAAAUUCCUUUAUUGAAGGUAUAGCUAUACCUGUAUAUUGCAUUUUUUUCUCUGGCUUUUAAUGAUUCAUAUUACAUAUAAAAUUUUAUUAUUCUGUCCUUGGCAGGAUAAUGUCAGUAAGGCUUACCUCAUAUAACAUAUUCCCAUAAGUUUUAAGUAUAACAAGAAGCAAACUUUUGUCCAACCCUUUUUAAAGCCCACUUUAGCUUUCAAACUGACAUGCUUUUAGAAUUAUCAAAAAGAGAAAAAAACUGCAUAUAGCUCAUAAUUAUAUAUAACUCAAGUUUCAAAACACAAUAUUGUUUCAAAGUCUUUUCCCCAAACCUAGUUUUAUGUUUAAAGAUGUUACAUAACUUCUCUUAGUAUUACUUCUGAUAGUAAAAAAAAAAAUAAAGAAAUUUAACCAUAUCUUGCCACUGUUCUUUUUUUAACAGUAUGACCUAAAUUCCUAAUGAUUUUUCAUCAGUUUACAUAAAAAAUGACCUCAUGUGAUAAUAUAACGAUUGAUAAAACAAAAAUCCAAGGAAAAAGGAAGAAGACUGAAGUUUGAGGCAGAUUCAUUGUUCAAGUAGAAGGUGAAAGCAAUUGCUCCAAUAAGAAUACUACCUAUCAAAGUUCAUUUAAGAGAUACAGUUUGAGGGCCUGCCUGCUGUACUGUAAUAGUAAUUUAAAAGCACUACGCUAAAAUCCAACAAUGAUGGUCUUAAACAGCAAUAGUACUGAUUUCCUGACUUUCUGUUACAGGGGAACUAUUUGGUUCAGUAGUAUGCCUCAUUUUGUGUUUCUUAACUUGAGGGAGAAAAUGUAUAUUCUGUAAAACAGUCAGAUUUAUAACCAUCUUCUCUCUAGAAAUGCAAAUAAAAACAUUUAACCCCAACCAUCCCAUCUCCUAUUAUUUUGGCACCUUUCUUUAGUUCCUUAACUCCAUUAUUCUUUGACUCCACAAUCCACUGAUGGUACCACUUUCUAACUAUACCUUAUAUUUUCAAUUCCCUUACAUAUCAUAAUCACUAAAAUGUGUGCCCCAUCACCUCCCUGGCUCCUCUGAGUCAUUACACUUAUUUGAGCAUUAAUCCUAGUACACUGUCCUGUCAACUCACUAUCUCAUUCACCAACUGUUUAACUAUAAUUUCGUGCCAUGAUUAUUGAAGUAGUUUUCUAACUGGGUUCCCUUACUGACACCCUUGCCCUUCCUAUAGUCUGUUCUUAACACAGAAAUUAAUUCUUAAGAAUUCUUGACAUCUUGCAAAAGGUUAAUAAAAUCCUGUCACUUCUUUUGUCAAAACAGCCAUAUGACUUCCCAUGUCAGAGUAAAAAUCAAUGUCUUAAAAUGGCCCACAAGACCCUACAAAAUCUAGCUGUUCAUUGCCUUAUUUUCUACCUCUCUCCCUCUGUCAUUUUGCUCUGGCCACACUGGUCUCCUGGCUGUUUCUGAAACAUGCCAGCAUGCCUCUUCUUCAAGGUCUUCAGACUUGGUAGGGCUGGCUUACUGUCUCAUUUCCUUUAUAUCAUUGGCACACAUCACAACAGUGAAACCCUCUUCCCCUACCUUACUUAAAAUUGUUUUAGUUUUCCUUGCUUUAUUUUUCUCAUGGUGCUCACCACUGUCUGCACUAGUGUAAAUUUAACCAACAUAUUGUUUCCGGCCACUCACCCCAACUAGCACGUAAGCUCUAUGAGAGCAAGGAUUUUGUGAGUUUUAUUGUACUCCUAGUGCCUAUAAUAUGACUGGUACAAAGUAGACAAUCACUAAAUAUUAUUUAUUAAAUAAAAGAACUAAGUUAAAUACAUAUUUUU